CUUGGCCCGGGCGUGAGGCGCGUGCGGGCUGAGGAGCCGUAGCCCGGCUGCUGCGCGCCUCUGCCCUGCGGGGAGUGGCUUUCAAGUUUCCUCACCGCUUUGCCGCACUUCCUCUUCCAGGCUCUCAUUUGAAAUAAUAUUUUGGUGGCUUAAGAGCCGUGGUGUUGUUAGAGUGGCAGGGCCGAAGCUGGGCGGGCUCCCUCGGUGUUCCCGAGGCGGCGGCCCUGUGUGGGCCUCGAGUCUUCGGCGGCGGUCUGUGUGGGCCUCGAGUCUUCGGUGUGUACGUGUGGAGCUCAAGUAGGAGAGGACACGGAAUCACAGCGUGCCCCGAGUUGGAAGGGACCCGUGCGGAUCAUGGAUUCCAACUGCCAGCUCCACACGAGACCCUCCAAAAAUGAGCCCACGUGUCUGCGUGUGGUACAGAUGAUUCUUGAACUCGGUCAGCUCAGUGCCGUGACCACACGGCCUGUUCCACACCCACCACCCUCCGCUGCAGAACCUUUUCCUGAACGCCUUCUGCCCAAAGCAGACUUCUGUCAUCGUUUUCUAACUCAUGCUGGUGGGUGCCGGGGUGCUGCUGAGGGCUGCGAUUGACCAUCGCGAGGCUGUAGUCAUCUCUGGAAAGCCGGGUCCCAUCUGUGUGGUGUCCAGCUUCUUCCCUGAAGGUUUCACUUCGUGCUCACAAGGCCCAGAUACAUCCCUGAUCUGAGACAGAGGGAUCACCAGAGGGAAGAAGGCUGAAAGAGUUUUAGCAGCUGGCUUGCUUCAUGAGGUGACAGAGCUUGAAGAGGAAGUGGAGAGAUUAAGGAGCAUGGAAGUGUGAGCAGGAGAUAGACUGGUGCAGCAACUCCCUGCAGCACCCACAAGAGGGGCACCGUGGUGAUCCACCCCAUGGAGUGGUGGACCCCCGGCCUGCCACCAUCAGGCAAAGGGAGGGGACCUAAGAGAUGGGGAGGAAUGGAAACAGGUUCCUGCUCAGUAUCACUGGCAGACUCCCUCCCUCGCCUUCCCAGCUGUCCUCACACGAUGGAUUUGGGGCUUUGGACCUCGAGG
This 1053-nucleotide long non-coding RNA is filed under the name Gallus gallus (chicken). RNAcentral describes it as "lncRNA (ENSGALG00010028235.1)". Lineage: Eukaryota; Metazoa; Chordata; Aves; Galliformes; Phasianidae. The record is from RNAcentral.